Molecule: ribosomal RNA, 253 nt
Filed under: uncultured bacterium
Lineage: Bacteria
Description: partial 16S ribosomal RNA
Rfam family: Bacterial small subunit ribosomal RNA
Source: RNAcentral
UACGAAGGGUGCAAGCGUUACUCGGAAUUACUGGGCGUAAAGCGUGCGUAGGUGGUUUGUUAAGUCUGUUGUGAAAGCCCCGGGCUCAACCUGGGAAUGGCAAUGGAUACUGGCAAGCUAGAGUGCGGUAGAGGGUAGUGGAGUUCCCGGUGUAGCGGUGAAAUGCGUAGAGAUCGGGAGGAACACCAGUGGCGAAGGCGGCUACCUGGACCAGCACUGACACUGAGGCACGAAAGCGUGGGGAGCAAACAGG